GAAAAAUAAGCUAAUAAUAAGCUAUUGGACUCAUAAUUCAAAUAUAGAAUAAAUCUUUUUUCUA
This 64-nucleotide transfer RNA is filed under the name Diaphorina citri (Asian citrus psyllid). RNAcentral's name for it is "tRNA-Met". Lineage: Eukaryota; Metazoa; Arthropoda; Insecta; Hemiptera; Psyllidae. The record is from RNAcentral.